RNAcentral lists this microRNA (21 nucleotides) under Hordeum vulgare. Its description in RNAcentral is "hvu-miR397b-3p". Its record names the gene hvu-miR397b-3p. Lineage: Eukaryota; Viridiplantae; Streptophyta; Magnoliopsida; Poales; Poaceae. The record is from miRBase by way of RNAcentral.
AUCAACGCUGCACUCAACGGC